This is a non-coding RNA of Aedes albopictus (Asian tiger mosquito), 46 nucleotides long. NCBI's taxonomy places the organism in Eukaryota, Metazoa, Arthropoda, Insecta, Diptera, Culicidae. The record is from Rfam.
CCUUUGGCCUUUCUCAAGGCCAAAAAAUUUCAUUCGCAAGAGUUUU